CUACGGCUGUCAUAUAUUUGUGGCCACAAGCUGGAUUUCGGGGGCGCUGUUUCCCCCUGUGGAUAGAGUUAAGGAGAGACUCUUUUUUUUCUUCUUUUUCCUUGUUUCCUCACAGUGACAGACGUCGCAUCAUAGACAGAGAUAAAGUGCACGGAGUUUUUGUCGAUAUACGGUGUUUUUUCAACUGUUCUGUCGUCUUACAAGUUGUCAACUUAUCAAACGAGAUAAUGAAGAAGACAACCAACUUCUUUCCCGGAAAGACUAUGGUGUCUUUCAGGAAGGGUCCAUCAGGUCAUCUGCGGCAGGAUCCCUCUGACGAGGCCAUGCGCACAUGCUCCCCCAUCACCUCCGACUGGAGGUGAUGGGGGAGUAUGUGCUGCAGUUUGGAAAGUACAAGGGUAAAUUGUUUAGGUGGCUCCUGGAAAAUGAUGUUGGCUACACCAUCUACCUGAUGAAAAAGGUAGAGGAGGAGGAGAGAGGGGACCUUCAACCCUCAGGGACACAACAAGGACAGCCUGCUGUCAUUUCUGGACUAUGCCAGGAGCUUCCAGGAAAUUAGGGACCUCAGGGAGUAUCUAGCUUCCAGGCUGCCUGCGCCACCAGUGGCAUCAGAGGGUGACAAUACUGUCGGCUUUGGAGCCAGGGCAAAGGACACCUGGAGGCAGAUCUGGGAGAGCAGGGCAGAUGGAUAUGCUGCCUUCAUCGUAGGAGUAAAGUGCAUCAAAAACAGCAAGAUGUACAACCUGCAGCAGUACAUCCUCAAGCAGCAGAGGGCUGAGUCUGGGGAGUCCUGUCCACCACCUGCAGGGGUCUCCACUACAUCAGCUGCCCCUACACCGCCUACAUCUAGCAUUCGAUGGAGGAAGACGAGGAGUUGGAGAGGGGAUGCUGAAUCUGUCUCCCUGUAAAUUUGCC
This is a long non-coding RNA of Perca flavescens (yellow perch), 915 nucleotides long. RefSeq lists it as uncharacterized. The record is from RefSeq and is a predicted model, not a curated record. NCBI's taxonomy places the organism in Eukaryota, Metazoa, Chordata, Actinopteri, Perciformes, Percidae. The transcript has 3 exons.